Molecule: ribosomal RNA, 433 nt
Filed under: uncultured bacterium
Lineage: Bacteria
Description: partial 16S ribosomal RNA
Rfam family: Bacterial small subunit ribosomal RNA
Source: RNAcentral
AACGAACGCUGGCGGCAGGCUUAACACAUGCAAGUCGAACGCACCUUUCGGGGUGAGUGGCCGACGGGUGAGUAACGCGUGGGAAUCUACCCUUCUCUACGGGAUAGCUCCGAGAAACUGGAAUUAAUACCGUAUACGUCCUGAGGGAGAAAGAUUUAUCGGGGAAGGAUGAGCCCGCGUUGGAUUAGCUAGUUGGUGGGGUAAAGGCCUACCAAGGCGACGAUCCAUAGCUGGUCUAAGAGGAUGAUCAGCCACAUUGGGACUGAGACACGGCCCAAACUCCUACGGGAGGCAGCAGUGGGGAAUAUUGGACAAUGGGCGCAAGCCUGAUCCAGCCAUGCCGCGUGAGUGAUGAAGGCCCUAGGGUUGUAAAGCUCUUUCAGUGGGGACGAUAAUGACGGUACCCACAGAAGAAGCCCCGGCUAACUUCGUG